UCACUUCACUGCUAUGGGCACUCACCCCAUGACCUGGGGUGGAGCGUUCCUGUUUGAGGAACAGCGAUCCGUGUGACACCCGGGGUGCCGCGGGUUCGGGGACAGCGCUGUUGGUGGGUGUCACUCCUCAGAAGUGACCAGUGUGGCUGAGAGGGACAACCCUACGUGCAAGACUUCAAAUACAACACUAGAUCAACAUCCCUCUUCGGUUGUUUGAAAGCAUUCACAAAAAGCAGGCGUGUUCCUGAGUGACUUCACUUACCGAGGAUGGAGGAGUUGUCGGAAUAGGGGUAACCAGAAUUAUCCUGGAUUUGCCCAGACAGCAAUCCAGCUGAAGAAAUGUCUGGAGUGCCACCAUUCAAGAUCUUGAAAGAAAAAAAAACAGAAGCUAUAAACCAGCAUGAAAUGUUGCAGAUGAGCUGCUCCCAAGGCACGGCUGCCAAUAAUUUCCUCAGCACAGGAGUUACCUUCUCCAGCCUGG
Long non-coding RNA from Pipra filicauda (Wire-tailed manakin), 481 nucleotides. RefSeq lists it as uncharacterized. Lineage: Eukaryota; Metazoa; Chordata; Aves; Passeriformes; Pipridae. The record is from RefSeq and is a predicted model, not a curated record. The transcript is spliced from 3 exons.